RNAcentral lists this ribosomal RNA (481 nucleotides) under uncultured bacterium. RNAcentral's name for it is "partial 16S ribosomal RNA". It matches the Rfam family "Bacterial small subunit ribosomal RNA", at positions 28 to 507 of the family's 1533-position model. The record is from RNAcentral.
GACGAACGUUGGCGGCGUGCUUAAUACAUGCAAGUCAACUGAAGCAGUGGUAGCAAUAUCGCUGUGGAGGUGGCGCACGGGUGAGUAACACGUAGGUAAUCUGCCUUCAGGUCUGGCAUAACUCCGGGAAACCGGGGCUAAUAGCAGAUGAUGCAGCGGCUCGACAUCGAGACAGUUGUUAAAGCUAUGGCGCCUGAAGAUGAGCCUGCGUCUGAUUAGCUAGUUGGCGGGGUAACGGCCCACCAAGGCAACGAUCAGUAGCUGGUCUGAGAGGAUGAUCAGCAACACUGGAACUGAGACACGGUCCAGACUCCUACGGGAGGCAGCAGUAAGGAAUAGUGCUCAAUGGGAGAAAUGCUGAAGCAGCAACGCCGCGUGAGGGACGAAGGGCUUUUGCUUGUAAACCUCUGUAGUGAGAGAAAAAAAUCCCAAUCUUUGGGACAUGAUGGUAUCUCAAAAGUAAGCCCCGGCUAACUACGUG